GUGAUCCACCUGCUUUGGCCUCCCAAAGUGCUGGGAUUACAGAUGUGAGUCCCUGCGCCCAGCUAGAGUCUACCUUUCUUUGAAUUCACUGCAGUGCAAAGACUGGGACAUGUGGAACUCCAGAUAUCCAGUAACUGACUGAUCAGCUGGUGGUGGGCUCUGCUGGCUGCCAUGAUGGACCACGAGCAAAAAGGGAAAAUUGGUUGUCAGUGAGAGAAGCAGAGAUAAGAAAGUCCACAGGGCUGAUAAGAAAGACCAUGGGCUGCUGGGCGCGGUGGCUGACACCUGUAAUCCCAGCACUUUG
Molecule: long non-coding RNA, 304 nt
Filed under: Pan troglodytes (chimpanzee)
Lineage: Eukaryota; Metazoa; Chordata; Mammalia; Primates; Hominidae
Description: long non-coding RNA NONPTRT003130
Source: RNAcentral